GUGUCAGCAGCCGCGGUAAUACGGAGGAUCCAAGCGUUAUCCGGAAUCAUUGGGUUUAAAGGGUCCGUAGGCGGUUUUGUAAGUCAGUGGUGAAAGCCCAUCGCUCAACGGUGGAACGGCCAUUGAUACUGCAAGACUUGAAUUACUAGGAAGUAACUAGAAUAUGUAGUGUAGCGGUGAAAUGCUUAGAUAUUACAUGGAAUACCAAUUGCGAAGGCAGGUUACUACUAGUGGAUUGACGCUGAUGGACGAAAGCGUGGGGAGCGAACAGGAUUAGAUACCCUGGUAGUCC
RNAcentral lists this ribosomal RNA (292 nucleotides) under uncultured bacterium. RNAcentral describes it as "partial 16S ribosomal RNA". It matches the Rfam family "Bacterial small subunit ribosomal RNA", at positions 505 to 796 of the family's 1533-position model. The record is from RNAcentral.